Molecule: ribosomal RNA, 269 nt
Filed under: uncultured Planctomycetales bacterium
Lineage: Bacteria; Pseudomonadati; Planctomycetota; Planctomycetia; Planctomycetales
Description: partial 16S ribosomal RNA
Rfam family: Bacterial small subunit ribosomal RNA
Source: RNAcentral
GAGCACGUAGGUGGGUUUGUAAGUCAGAUGUGAAAGCCUUCUGUUCAACGGAAGAAUUGCAUCUGAAACUGCGAGUCUUGAGUGUAGGAGGGGAGAAUGGAACUUCUGGUGGAGCGGUGAAAUGCGUAGAUAUCAGAAGGAACGCCGGCGGCGAAAGCGAUUCUCUGGCCUAUUACUGACACUCAGUGUGCGAAAGCUAGGGGAGCAAACGGGAUUAGAUACCCCGGUAGUCCUAGCCCUAAACGAUGGGCACUAAGUAGAGGGGUUUU